UUGUCCUACGGGAGGCAGCAGUGAGGAAUAUUGGUCAAUGGGCUUACGCCUGAACCAGCCAAGUCGCGUGAGGGAAGACUGCCCUAUGGGUUGUAAACCUCUUUUGUCAGGGAGCAACGCCGGCUACGUGUAGCCGGACUGAGAGUACCUGAAGAAAAAGCAUCGGCUAACUCCGUGCCAGCAGCCGCGGUAAUACGGAGGAUGCGAGCGUUAUCCGGAUUUAUUGGGUUUAAAGGGUGCGUAGGCGGUUUGUCAAGUCAGCGGUAAAAAUUCCGGGCUCAACCCGGUCCCGCCGUUGAAACUGG
RNAcentral lists this ribosomal RNA (305 nucleotides) under uncultured bacterium. RNAcentral describes it as "bacterial SSU rRNA". It matches the Rfam family "Bacterial small subunit ribosomal RNA", at positions 334 to 636 of the family's 1533-position model. The record is from RNAcentral.